UUGGGCUCCACGAUCUCAUAUCUCUGGUAAUCGAUAUUCUUCGUGUUCUCCGUCCAGACUGGUUCCUCCACUCUUCUGCUGAUCCUCUAUUCUCUUCGAUCGCCGUGAAAUCGGAGCAAAAUGUGGAAGCUUAAAUUUGCGGAGGGAGGUAGUCCAUGGCUGAGAACGACGAACAAUCAUGUCGGAAGACAAGUCUGGGAGUUCGAUCCGAGGCUCGGGACUCCUGAGGAGCUCGCCGAGAUCGAGGAAGCGCGAAAAUCGUUCGCGGAGAAUCGAUUUGUGCAUAAGCACAGCUCCGAUCUGCUUAUGCGUCUUCAGUUUUCUAGAGAAAACCCUGUUCGUCAAGUUUUACCUCAAGUCGAAGUCAAAGAUACUGAUGACAUUUCGGAGGAGAUGGUGGCAAAUACAUUGAGAAGGGCUCUAAAUUUCCAUUCAACAAUACAGGCGCACGACGGGCACUGGCCAGGAGAUUACGGCGGUCCUAUGUUUCUUCUCCCAGGGCUGGUAAUUGCUCUUUCUAUAACCGGAGCACUGAAUGCAGUAUUAUCAGAACAACACAAACAAGAAAUGUGCCGAUAUCUCUAUAAUCAUCAGAAUGAGGAUGGAGGGUGGGGUUUACACAUUGAGGGGCCCAGCACCAUGUUUGGUUCUGUAUUGAACUAUGUUACCAUGAGGUUACUUGGUGAAGGGCCUAAUGAUGGAGAUGGAGCUAUGGAGAAAGGACGAGAUUGGAUAUUAAAUCAUGGAGGUGCUACCUAUAUCACGUCAUGGGGAAAGAUGUGGCUUACAGUACUUGGAGUUUUUGAAUGGUCUGGAAAUAAUCCCCUUCCACCUGAGAUAUGGCUUCUUCCAUAUAUAUUGCCAAUCCAUCCAGGAAGGAUGUGGUGCCACUGUCGGAUGGUCUACCUGCCUAUGUCUUAUCUGUAUGGAAAGAGAUUUGUUGGCCCUAUAACACCAACUGUUCUUUCACUGAGAAAGGAGCUUUUCACUGUGCCAUAUCAUGAAGUUGACUGGAAUAAGGCACGGAACCUUUGUGCAAAGGAGGAUUUAUACUACCCACACCCAGUUGUCCAAGAUAUUCUCUGGGCAUCGCUACAUAAGGUUGUUGAACCGAUUCUAAUGCGAUGGCCUGUUACAAAGUUGAGGGAAAAGGCUCUAAGGACUGCAAUAGAACACAUACAUUAUGAAGACGAGAAUACAAGAUAUAUCUGCAUAGGACCUGUGAACAAGGUAUUAAAUAUGCUUUGCUGCUGGGUAGAGGACCCAAACUCAGAGGCUUUUAAGUUACACCUACCAAGAAUCCAUGACUAUCUCUGGGUAGCAGAAGAUGGUAUGAAAAUGCAGGGUUAUAACGGAAGUCAACUAUGGGAUACAGCUUUUGCAAUUCAAGCAAUUUUUGCGACCAACUUUGUUGAAGAAUAUGGGGACGUUUUGAAGAAAGCAAAUUCGUAUAUCAAGAAGUCUCAGGUAUUAGAGGAUUGCCCUGGAGAUCUUAGUUACUGGUAUCGCCACAUUUCUAAGGGUGCUUGGCCUUUCUCGACAGCGGAUCACGGGUGGCCUAUCUCUGAUUGCACAUCAGAAGGACUAAAAGCUGCUCUUUUACUAUCAAAAGUUUCUCCAGAGAUUGUUGGUGAACCAGUAGAGGCAAAGCGGUUAUAUGAUGCUGUAAAUGUUAUUCUUUCGCUUCAGAAUGCAGAUGGAGGCUUUGCAACAUAUGAGCUCACAAGGUCAUACCCUUGGUUAGAGCUAAUUAACCCAGCAGAAACAUUUGGCGACAUUGUAAUUGAUUACCCUUAUGUGGAAUGUACCUCAGCAGCUAUUCAAGCUUUGACAUCAUUCAAGAAGUUGUAUCCUGGACAUCGGCAGAAAGAAGUAGAUCAAUGCAUCAAGAAGGCAGCCAAGUUCAUUGAAUCUAGUCAAGCACCAGAUGGCUCAUGGUAUGGAUCAUGGGCUGUUUGCUUCACAUAUGCUAUAUGGUUUGGAGUGAAAGGACUGGUAGCCACCGGAAAAACCUUUAGCAACUCUGCAAGCAUCCGCAAAGCUUGUGAGUUUCUAUUGUCGAAACAACUUCCUUCCGGAGGAUGGGGAGAAAGCUAUCUUUCAUGUCAAGACAAGGUAUACACAAAACUCAAAGGCAACAGGUCGCAUGUUGUGAACACAGGAUGGGCUAUGCUCACACUUAUUGGUGCUGGGCAGCAUGAACGGGACCCGAAACCGUUACAUCGGGCUGCAAGAUACUUGAUUAAUUCCCAGUUGGAGAAUGGCGAUUUCCCGCAACAGGAGAUCAUGGGUGUCUUCAAUAAGAAUUGCAUGAUAACUUAUGCAGCUUAUAGAAACAUUUUCCCCAUAUGGGCAUUGGGAGAGUACCGAUCUCAGGUCUUGCAAGCAGCUUAGUCGUGCCAACGACAACCGAUAAUUCCUCGAGGUUGAUGGGGAUGGACAAUUCGGUUUCGGUUUUCAGUAUUCGUUAUUGGAGUUAACCGGCUCGAAAUGGAAUAUAUUUCAGUUGGGUUUCGGUUUCGGCUCAUUUGGGUUCCAAGAAAUGCUGCAAAUUUUCCAAACCGAAGUCGGUUUAGUUCGGUUUACAGAGACGAGCAGGUCAACUAGAUAUAAUUUGUCCAUUGUUUAGGAACUCGUGAGAAAUCAAUGUUUCUGCAAUUGUUAAUUAUC
Tarenaya hassleriana is the source of this 2670-nucleotide RNA transcript. It is a transcript of the gene named cycloartenol synthase, with no coding region annotated. The record is from RefSeq and is a predicted model, not a curated record. Lineage: Eukaryota; Viridiplantae; Streptophyta; Magnoliopsida; Brassicales; Cleomaceae. The transcript has 21 exons.